RNAcentral lists this ribosomal RNA (1082 nucleotides) under uncultured bacterium. RNAcentral describes it as "bacterial SSU rRNA". It matches the Rfam family "Bacterial small subunit ribosomal RNA", at positions 314 to 1396 of the family's 1533-position model. The record is from RNAcentral.
UGGUNNUNNNNNNCGGNCCNNNUUCCUACGGGAGGCAGCAGUGAGGAANNUUGGUCAAUGGGCGCAAGCCUGAACCAGCCAUCCCGCGUGCAGGAAGACGGCCCUAUGGGUUGUAAACUGCUUUUCCAGGGAGAGAAACCUGCGCACGUGUUGCGCAAUUGACGGUACCCUGGGAAUAAGCAUCGGCUAACUCCGUGCCAGCAGCCGCGGUAAUACGGAGGAUGCAAGCGUUAUCCGGAUUCAUUGGGUUUAAAGGGUGCGUAGGCGGACUAUUAAGUCAGUGGUGAAAGCCUGCAGCUUAACUGCAGAACUGCCAUUGAUACUGAUAGUCUUGAGUUUGGUUAAGGUAGGCGGAAUGUGUAAUGUAGCGGUGAAAUGCUUAGAUAUUACACAGAACACCAAUUGCGUAGGCAGCUUACUGAGCCGACACUGACGCUGAGGCACGAAAGCGUGGGGAUCGAACAGGAUUAGAUACCCUGGUAGUCCACGCCGUAAACGAUGAUUACUCGCUGUUGGCGAUACACUGUCAGCGGCUAAGCAAAAGCAAUAAGUAAUCCACCUGGGGAGUACGGCCGCAAGGUUGAAACUCAAAGGAAUUGACGGGGGCCCGCACAAGCGGAGGAACAUGUGGUUUAAUUCGAUGAUACGCGAGGAACCUUACCUGGGCUUAAAUGUAGAGUGCAUUUUCUAGAGAUAGGAAUUCCCUUCGGGGCUUUCUGCAAGGUGCUGCAUGGUUGUCGUCAGCUCGUGCCGUGAGGUGUCGGGUUAAGUCCCAUAACGAGCGCAACCCUUAUCGUUAGUUGCCAGCUGGUAAAGCAGGGGACUCUAGCGAAACUGCCACCGUAAGGUGAGAGGAAGGUGGGGAUGACGUCAAAUCAGCACGGCCCUUAUGUCCAGGGCUACACACGUGUUACAAUGGUCGGUACAGAGGGCAGCUACCUGGUGACAGGAUGCUAAUCUCCAAAACCGGUCUCAGUUCGGAUCGAAGUCUGCAACUCGACUCCGUGAAGCUGGAUUCGCUAGUAAUCGCGCAUCAGCCAUGGCGCGGUGAAUACGUUCCCGGGCCUUGCACACACCGCCCG